UCACCUUGACCUCAUGAAUUGAUGAUGUAUGUCAAUAUAUUCAUCCUUGUGAGUAUAUGGUUACUUCACUCACCAUCUCUCCUAGCCUUGCUCUACCAUUGUCUAAAUCACCAUCACCACCAUCAUCUCUUGGGCACAUCUUUUAUCAGGUCAGAAUGUCACCACCAUCUACUUUAGCACCCUUGUGCAUUAGUAUCACUUUGCCUAAAAUUGUAUAUCUUUUUAGGCCACCAUUUUAGUAAUUUGUGAGGCACUCAACCUUGGGUGUCAUGCAUGUGUAGCAAUUAUCUCUUGUUGAUCACUUGUGCAUGGCCAAAAAUAUGUGGCCGGCCAUGCCAUGGCACACAUGCAUCAUGCCUCUCCAUUUCCCUCUCUCUCACAUAAUUACUCCACCUUGGGAUGCCUCUCCUCCUUUGUCCCUUCCCAAUGCCACAAAUAAAUUCAGCUUGGGUCAAAUAUCUCUUCCCCAAACCAGCCUCCCAACUAACCCAAUCAAUGAAGAGGCUACCUCCCAACCAACCCAAUCAAUGAGGAGGCAGCCCACCCCCUCUCCCUCUAUAUAAAGGGGCUUGGCAGCCCACCCCCUCCUCACUUGCUCUCACUUUUCCACUCCCCACUCUCUCCUCCACUCCCACACACUCUCCUCCUACCUCUCCCCACGAAAUUGCUGCUCCUCCUAGCUUCAUGGCCGGCCAUGGCCAUGGAAAGCUCACCAAGAUGCAGCUCCUUCCUCCCUCAAGCUCAUCCUCACCAUGAGAGCCUCCCCCUCCAUCUUCUCCCCAACCUUAGAUGGUUUAAUCUCCUCUUCUUCUCCCUCCUUUGCUAAGAUUGGAUCUUGAUGCAGGUGCAUGUUGGUCCAAGCAUGGAGAAGGUUGAGCUAUCCUCAGAUCUGAAGUUCUUGAGCAAAGUUCGUCCAAAACCUUGCAGUAAUUUCUGUUUCUUGCUGUUUCAGAUUCUGGUACGAUCUUGUAAAAUCCGCCAAAUCUCGUGUGCAGAUCCAAAUCGAGUGGUUCAAAGUUCUACAGAUAGAUCAAGAUCUGGUCAGAUCUGACUUUGUCGAAUUAAAUCAGGAGCUUUGAAACGAAUUUUUGAAUGAAACCAGUUGGGGGAUAUUUGGUUUAUACCAUGGUGAUAACCGGGAGAGGCAAUUGCUAAGUUGUGACGCACUCAUACCUCUACUAGAUGCGAACAAUUCCGGAGAAGAAGAAGAAGUGGUUCGGACAAGGAUUUUAUUUAUAUUGACGGGAUUCUUAUAUUGAUGAAGUUGAAGAAGUCCAGGGACAAAUAAGCCAAG
Molecule: non-coding RNA, 1294 nt
Organism: Lolium perenne
Lineage: Eukaryota; Viridiplantae; Streptophyta; Magnoliopsida; Poales; Poaceae
Source: RefSeq, a predicted model, not a curated record